RNAcentral lists this ribosomal RNA (459 nucleotides) under uncultured Microbacterium sp. RNAcentral's name for it is "bacterial SSU rRNA". It matches the Rfam family "Bacterial small subunit ribosomal RNA", at positions 924 to 1382 of the family's 1533-position model. Lineage: Bacteria; Bacillati; Actinomycetota; Actinomycetes; Micrococcales; Microbacteriaceae. The record is from RNAcentral.
CACAAGCGGCGGAGCAUGCGGAUUAAUUCGAUGCAACGCGAAGAACCUUACCAAGGCUUGACAUAUACGAGAACGCUGCAGAAAUGUAGAACUCUUUGGACACUCGUAAACAGGUGGUGCAUGGUUGUCGUCAGCUCGUGUCGUGAGAUGUUGGGUUAAGUCCCGCAACGAGCGCAACCCUCGUUCUAUGUUGCCAGCACGUAAUGGUGGGAACUCAUGGGAUACUGCCGGGGUCAACUCGGAGGAAGGUGGGGAUGACGUCAAAUCAUCAUGCCCCUUAUGUCUUGGGCUUCACGUAUGCUACAAUGGCCGGUACAAAGGGCUGCAAUACCGUAAGGUGGAGCGAAUCCCAAAAAGCCGGUCCCAGUUCGGAUUGAGGUCUGCAACUCGACCUCAUGAAGUCGGAGUCGCUAGUAAUCGCAGAUCAGCAACGCUGCGGUGAAUACGUUCCCGGGUCUU